GUUCAUAACAGCGUUCAUUCUCGGAAGAGGAAGAGAAAGGGAAGGGGGACGUGCACGUAGCUCAUUUCGCUCUCCGGACCGAAGGAGAUGGACACCUGAACGGGACAUAUGGGUGUAGAAACGGAGGGUUAGCCAGAGAUGCUGAAUGGAUGGGGCCGUUGCGACGUCACGCGGAGCCCCAGCCGCGCAGCGCACGAGCCAACACUAGACGACAUUGGAAAGCUCGAGGCGUUCUCGACCGCAGAGCUGUCCGUUUGACCGAGAAACCCAAUCUUCACGAUAUAGUCUGAAGGACAGGAGCCGAUGAUAUAGACGUCCAGUCUCUGUGUCGAAAAGAUGCCAGCGAAAGGGAAGGAAAACAUGGAGGAUGUUAUGGAGGAGGGGAGGGUUGGUGUUGAGACUCUCUGUGCCCCACUAUGCAUUGCUGCUCUCAGCCCCUCCUCUCACUGCCUGCCUGCCCCUUCCUCUUGUGAUGAGCGGCAAUCCAUGCUUCACCACCAUCUUAGAAAGCGCUGGCAUGAAAUGGAAGAGGGAGGAAGAAUGAGCAGGUGAUGGAAGAAUAAAAGAGGAUUUUUUAUAAAUGACAUCUGAUCAUGGAUAACAAAUCAAUGCCUGCUGAUGAAGUACUUGACCCAGACGUCUGCACCAUUUCAUUGUGUGCCCCAACAUUAUAACAUUUAAGCACUUUAAAUGCCUCUAUUUCUUUUGCACAUUUUUAAAAAAUGUUUAAAUUGUUUACUUUUUUCUGCUUUUACAUUUUUGUUAAGGUAAUCAUAUAUUAUAAUUUAGAAUCUAUUAUAAUCUGACAUUCUAACAUUAGCUCUGCAUCCUCUAUCUGGACAAGUAAUUGCAAUUGAUUCAAACAUAUCAUCUUAGAUUAGUUUGCUACAAUAUGAAAUGCUAUGUUAUUUAUUUAUUUAUUAUUAUUUACAGAGGCCAACCAAUAGAUAAAUUUAUAGUGCUAAUUAAUUAAAGUGUAAAGCUUUAAUAUAGCACAAACUCAAUCUUUAGCAUAGAGCACUUCAAACAUUCGUGUAACCUUUCCGUCAUCCCUUUCUCAUGUCUUGUAUUUAGUGUCACGUGCUUGAGAGCAUCUGCUAUGAUAAAAAUGACACUGUUAGACUUGAUUGUAAUGCUAUAUUCAAAAUGAGUAGCUAAAUGUUAGAUUCUGAAAACUGUAGACUGCUGAACUAAUGGUGUAGAGAUCAUGAAUGUGAGACCCAUGGCAGCAGUUAAGGGUUACUGCACUGCGAUUGAACAGCUCUGUGUGUUAUUUACACACCUGGUAUAGAGAGAGCUGUUGUCUUUAUUCUCUAUGCAAUUGAGUUGGUCAUGCUAUCAUUAAUCAUUAAUCAUUAAUGAUCAUUAACUAUUAACUAUCAUUAAUGAUCAGUGCAGGACCUGUCCUGAGCAGAUGGAACCUCCUUUAUUCAAAUUUUUAUUCAAACAAUAUUUUAAAUAUGUUAUAAACAAUGCUGGUGUACUAUUAAGGAGAAGAAUCACUACACCAUACUUUACAUGGUCUGUGUUAUGUUAUUUUAUUUUGUCUAUGUUGUCUGAUUGAACCUGCAGUCAUUAGAAGUAAUAAUGCCACUUACAGUACUAAUCAAGUAAAAUCCUUCUACUAAUAAUAAUGUAAAAUACUACUACUAAUAUUAUUAUUAUUAUUAUUAUUAUUAUUAUUAUUAUUAGUAGUAGUAGUAGUAUUUUUAAUAAUCCUCAUUCCUGAUCAGCUAUUUUGUUUAAGUAUUAUUUACAGUACUUGAUCUUAUAAUUAAAUUUGGGCAGAGGCAAACAUAUAUUUUCAAUGGUCUAUGCAAAUAUAUUAAUAUUUGAUCAUAUUAAUGAAAAUUGUGCAAUUUAUUUUGAGACCCACUUUUGUUAUCAUGGACAGUGAUGCCCUUAAAUCAUCAAGCAAGUAUUUAUUUUAUUAAUUAUUAUUAUUAUUAUUAUUAUUAUUAUUAUUAACAUAGAAAUGUAAGAGGAAUGUUAGUACUAUGAUUAAAAAUCAUUUACUAUGCAAUUUAUUGUGAAUCACAAUGAUGAGUGUGUUUCUAAAUGUUAUAUUUCCUGGUGUGAGAUUCUUGAUGUUUUUAAGAUGUAGGCAACUUGUCUGUAAAGACUAAUAUGAUUAUUAUUAGACAAAUCGUGGCAUUGAACUAAUUUGUCCUGUUAUGAAUACUAAUAAAAGUUUACAUUGAAAACAAAGGAGAAUUGUGCAUUUCUCUUAAACAAACAGUGACAGAAAAUAAUGGCGGUAAUGCUGAGGUUUUCUACAAUCCCACAGUCUACUGCAUAUAAACUACUCUAUUUCACCAUGUAUGCACAGGGACAUUCUUUAAUAUGAUAUACUGUUGCACUUUAUAUGUCUACACAUUAGAACUAUUCAACAAUCAAAGCAUUAAUGUGUGCAAGAUUCUAAGAUGCACAUCAGUUUAAUAUGUGUAGGUGGACCUUUCUGGUUCCUAUACACACACAGUCAGUGGUUUUACAGGCAAUGCCAAGGAUGUUUGCAACUGAGACAUUUGCAAUAAAAUAACUUGAUGCCUGCAUUAAUAUGCACAGCAAAUUAUAUUAUGCCCAUAUGAUGCAUGCAAUACCACUGUUGAGCUUGUUUUGGGAGUGACAUACAUUCUGGACAAACAUUUUUCUCUAAUGGCGUUCCAGACAUAUAUGUACAAUAUAAUCAAUAGAAGGCAUAUCACAGAAUUCCUCUCUAAUCUACAGCUCAGUUUAAUGCAUUAAAUCUAUAUAUAAUUAAUAAAGAAGAGAUCAUAGUGAAUCAAGUCCAUAAACUGGUAUGGAUGGUGACAUGUCUUUAUUUCUUGAAAAACCUAAUCUCUCAACUGUCAGUGUGCCAAGAGGCAGAAUGCACAGUGUACUGUAGAGUGUAAUAAAGCUGAUAUUAAAACACUUUUGGGUGAGUCGGUACCACAAGGCAACAGAAGGCACAUAACAGGAUUAGCCCUGGCUUCCAUACUUCAUGCCACAUUCAGAGCUGGGUCACCUAUGGGGCAGGAGCCAGCAAGUCGUCUCACUAUUAGCUUAAUUAUUAUUAUUAUUUAUUACUUAUUUAUUUAUUUUUACAGCAUAGCUAUUUAAAAUUCAGGUUGUAAUUGUUGUGGAAAUCACAUAAAUAUCAGCAAAUAAAUAUAGUGCAAUGUGUUGUUAAAAAUAGUACAGUUUCAUAAGUGUGUGCCCUUCAUUACUUCUCAAUCUGCAGUUCUG
Molecule: long non-coding RNA, 3228 nt
Organism: Ictalurus punctatus (channel catfish)
Lineage: Eukaryota; Metazoa; Chordata; Actinopteri; Siluriformes; Ictaluridae
Source: Ensembl